GUGACUGCGUACCUUUUGUAUAAUGGGUCAGCGACUUAUAUUCUGUAGCAAGGUUAACCGUAUAGGGGAGCCGCAGGGAAACCGAGUCUUAACCGGGCGUUAAGUUGCAGGGUAUAGACCCGAAACCCGGUGAUCUAGCCAUGGGCAGGUUGAAGGUUGGGUAACACUAACUGGAGGACCGAACCGACUAAUGUUGAAAAAUUAGCGGAUGACCUGUGGCUGGGGGUGAAAGGCCAAUCAAACCGGGAGAUAGCUGGUUCUCCCCGAAAGCUAUUUAGGUAGCGCCUCGUGAACUCAUCUCCGGGGGUAGAGCACUGUUUCGGCUAGGGGGCCAUCCCGGCUUACCAACCCGAUGCAAACUGCGAAUACCGGAGAAUGUUAUCACGGGAGACACACGGCGGGUGCUAACGUCCGUCGUGAAGAGGGAAACAACCCAGACCGCCAGCUAAGGUCCCAAAGUCAUGGUUAAGUGGGAAACGAUGUGGGAAGGCCCAGACAGCCAGGAUGUUGGCUUAGAAGCAGCCAUCAUUUAAAGAAAGCGUAAUAGCUCACUGGUCGAGUCGGCCUGCGCGGAAGAUGUAACGGGGCUAAACCAUGCACCGAAGCUGCGGCAGCGACACUAUGUGUUGUUGGGUAGGGGAGCGUUCUGUAAGCCUGUGAAGGUGGCCUGUGAGGGUUGCUGGAGGUAUCAGAAGUGCGAAUGCUGACAUAAGUAACGAUAAAGCGGGUGAAAAGCCCGCUCGCCGGAAGACCAAGGGUUCCUGUCCAACGUUAAUCGGGGCAGGGUGAGUCGACCCCUAAGGCGAGGCCGAAAGGCGUAGUCGAUGGGAAACGGGUUAAUAUUCCCGUACUUGGUGUUACUGCGAAGGGGGGACGGAGAAGGCUAUGUUGGCCGGGCGACGGUUGUCCCGGUUUAAGCGUGUAGGUGUGUGUUCCAGGUAAAUCCGGUUCACUUUAACACUGAGGCGUGAUGACGAGGCACUACGGUGCUGAAGCAACAAAUGCCCUGCUUCCAGGAAAAGCCUCUAAGCAUCAGGUAACAUCAAAUCGUACCCCAAACCGACACAGGUGGUCAGGUAGAGAAUACCAAGGCGCUUGAGAGAACUCGGGUGAAGGAACUAGGCAAAAUGGUGCCGUAACUUCGGGAGAAGGCACGCUGACAUGUAGGUGAAGUGAUUUACUCACGGAGCUGAAGUCAGUCGAAGAUACCAGCUGGCUGCAACUGUUUAUUAAAAACACAGCACUGUGCAAACACGAAAGUGGACGUAUACGGUGUGACGCCUGCCCGGUGCCGGAAGGUUAAUUGAUGGGG
RNAcentral lists this ribosomal RNA (1312 nucleotides) under Salmonella enterica subsp. salamae serovar 13,22:z:-. Its description in RNAcentral is "partial 23S ribosomal RNA". It matches the Rfam family "Bacterial large subunit ribosomal RNA", at positions 593 to 1889 of the family's 2925-position model. The record is from RNAcentral. Lineage: Bacteria; Pseudomonadati; Pseudomonadota; Gammaproteobacteria; Enterobacterales; Enterobacteriaceae.